Oryctolagus cuniculus (rabbit) is the source of this 106-nucleotide small nuclear RNA. The record is from Ensembl. Lineage: Eukaryota; Metazoa; Chordata; Mammalia; Lagomorpha; Leporidae.
GUACUAGCUUCUCUGGCACAUAUACUACAAUUGGAAUGAUACAGAGAAGAUCAGCAUGGCCCCAAGCAAGGAUGACAUACAAAUUCAUGAAGUGUUCCAUAUUUUU